This is a long non-coding RNA of Labeo rohita (rohu), 1148 nucleotides long. RefSeq lists it as uncharacterized. The transcript has 3 exons. NCBI's taxonomy places the organism in Eukaryota, Metazoa, Chordata, Actinopteri, Cypriniformes, Cyprinidae. The record is from RefSeq and is a predicted model, not a curated record.
AGUGGAAGAUCAUAGAACGCUGGAAAGGCCUGAAAUGGAAAGAUGGAACAGCACAUGAUCAACCCUUUCAUGCUUCUGGUCCUACACAUAGAAGUACAAAUAGUAGAGAAGGAAUACUCCUCCUCUUGGAUGGAGAGCGUGGCAGUCAAAACACAGGCAUAGGCAAGAGAAGAGAAGAGUUAUAUGCAAGAGUUAACAUCACAGAUUCUGCAAAGACAUUUAAUAGGAAGAGCUACACAACCACAAAAGAGCCCUGGAGCAACAAUGGAGAUGACUCAAGAAAGGAGAGCAGCGAGGUUUGCCACAGAACAAGCAAGAUCCAAAGCAGAAUCCAAAUUAAGCCCUAUUCGCACAGGAUAAGUAUUACCCGGUGACCUCUAGUCAUUUGUAAUAAUUGCAGAGAUUGUCUGUGAUCGUAAUACUGUGCAAAUUGGCCAUGUCUGUAAUUUGUAAAGUAAAAAUUCACCUGCAAAUGACCUACCAUAUUUUGCCGUACACAGAGGUCCUGUAAUAAUAUUAAUCCUGUGCGAAUCAGAAUCCAUUUUUGGUAAGUAUGGUUAGUUAGUAUGACUAAUUGAUCAUUUUUGGUCACAUACAUUGUAGCGGUAACACUUUACAAUAAGGUGUCAUGUUAACAUUAGUUAAUUUAUUAACUUAUAUGAACCAACAAUGAACAAUACAUUUAUUACUUUAUUUAUUACUCUUAGUUAAUGUUAGUUAAUAAAAAAUACAGUUGUUCGUUAGCCUAAACCAUAAAGUACUCACCCGCCUGCAGAUUGCAAUCCUUGUGGUUGUUCUUGUUUGAGGCUCAGUUUGUAGUUAAGGAAGGAAAGGAAAGGACGUGAGGCCAAGUAUGGUGACCCAUACACAGAAUUUGUGCUCUGCCUUUGACACACACACACCCACCCAGGGAGCAGUGCUUUGCUCAAGGGACUCACCUCAGUCGUGGUAUUGAGGGUGGAGAGAGCACUGGUUAUUCACUCCCACCACCUUCAAUCCCUGCUGGACCUGGGACUCAAACCCACAACCUUUAGGUUACAAGCCUGACUCACUAACCAUUAGGCCAUGGCUAUAAGUUGUAAGUUAUAAGUUAUAAGUAAAGACUCACGGGAGGCAAUAGUAACCCCUGUUGAAAAAAACAGCAUAUG